This 426-nucleotide ribosomal RNA is filed under the name uncultured prokaryote. RNAcentral's name for it is "bacterial SSU rRNA". It matches the Rfam family "Bacterial small subunit ribosomal RNA", at positions 355 to 774 of the family's 1533-position model. The record is from RNAcentral.
UGGGGAAUCAUGGUCAAUGGGCGAAAGCCUGAACCUGCGACGCCGCGUGAGUGAUGAAGGUCGUAAGAUCGUAAAACUCUUUUCAGGGAUCUUAAAGGCAGCGCUCUAACAUAGCGUCUGCUGUGACUAUCCCUGGAAUAAGCCCCAGCCAACUACGUGCCAGCAGCUGCGGUAAUACGUAGGGGGCGAGCGUUAUUCGGAAUUACUGGGUGUAAAGGGUAUGUAGGCGGUUCCUCAAGUCGCUUGUCAAAGUCCAGUGCUUAACGCUGGGUGCGCACGCGAUACUGAAGAACUAGAGUGCUGGAGAGGUGAGCGGAAUUCCCGGUGUAGUGGUAAAAUACGUAGAUAUCGGGAGGAACACCAGCGGCGUAGGCGGCUCACUAGACAGUUUCUGACGCUAAGAUACGAAAGCGUGGGGAGCAAACA